Molecule: long non-coding RNA, 263 nt
Filed under: Elaeis guineensis (African oil palm)
Lineage: Eukaryota; Viridiplantae; Streptophyta; Magnoliopsida; Arecales; Arecaceae
Description: long non-coding RNA (EGUI_LNC015566)
Source: RNAcentral
AAGUCAAUUUCAUGCCAUACAACUUAAUAUUUGUAUUUUUCUAUACAAACUGUAAAGUAAUUUAACAACUAUUAUCCAUAUAUAGAUUUUUCUUCCUGGCGGGCAUAUUUAAGAAUACAAUCAACAAGAAUCCAUGCCAAAUCUGAAUUUAAAAGAAGUUACUUUUUUUUUUCCAGCUUAUUCACACUUGAUAAACACUACCGAGUUUGGUGUAUCAAGAUCUCUCUCUCUCUCUCUCACUCGCUCUCAAAAUGCUUUCGGCA